Molecule: ribosomal RNA, 480 nt
Filed under: uncultured bacterium
Lineage: Bacteria
Description: bacterial SSU rRNA
Rfam family: Bacterial small subunit ribosomal RNA
Source: RNAcentral
AAUGAACGUUGGCGGCGUGGAUUAGGCAUGCAAGUCGAGCGAGAACCCGCAAGGGGGACAGCGGCAAACGGGGUAGUAAUGUGUCGGAACGUGCCCUCAGGUCGGGGAUAGCGGCGGGAAACUGCCGGUAAUACCCGAUGACCUCGAGAGAGCAAAGGUGUGAUUCCGCCGGAGGAGCGGCCGACAUGGUAUUAGCUAGUUGGCGGGGUAACGGCCCACCAAGGCUGUGAUGCCUAGGGGAUGUGAGAGCAUGAUCCCCACCAUUGGGACUGAGACACUGCCCAGACACCUACGGGUGGCUGCAGUCGAGAAUCUUCGUCAAUGGGCGAAAGCCUGAACGAGCGACGCCGCGUGUGGGAUGACGGCCUUUGGGUUGUAAACCACUGUCGAGGGGGAUGAAGGCCUGGUAGUCAUCUGCCAGGUUUGACAGAGCCCUGGAGGAAGCACGGGCUAAGUUCGUGCCAGCAGCCGCAGUAACAC